This 494-nucleotide ribosomal RNA is filed under the name uncultured bacterium. RNAcentral's name for it is "partial 16S ribosomal RNA". It matches the Rfam family "Bacterial small subunit ribosomal RNA", at positions 28 to 507 of the family's 1533-position model. The record is from RNAcentral.
GACGAACGCUGGCGGCGUGCUUAACACAUGCAAGUCGAACGGUGAAGCGCCUUCCUUUUUGGUGGGUGUGGAUGAGUGGCGAACGGGUGAGUAACACGUGAGUAACCUGCCCCCUUCUUCUGGAUAACCGCAUGAAAGUGUGGCUAAUACGGGAUAUUCUGGGUCUGUCGCAUGAUGGGUCUGGGAAAGUUAUUGUUUCGGUGGGGGAUGGGCUCGCGGCCUAUCAGCUUGUUGGUGGGGUGAUGGCCUACCAAGGCGGUGACGGGUAGCCGGCCUGAGAGGGUUGACGGGCCCGCCUGGAAUGAGGACCCGCCCAGAAUGCUAUGAGAGGCGGCCGGGGGGAAUAUGGCACAAUGGGGGCAAGCCUGAUGCAGCGACGCCGCGUGAGGGAUGGAGGCCUGCGGGUUGUAAACCUCUUUCGCCAGUGAAGCAGGCCUGCCUCGUUUGUGGGUGGGUUGACGGUAGCUGGAGAAGAAGCGCCGGCUAACUACGUG